Molecule: ribosomal RNA, 455 nt
Filed under: uncultured bacterium
Lineage: Bacteria
Description: partial 16S ribosomal RNA
Rfam family: Bacterial small subunit ribosomal RNA
Source: RNAcentral
UGGGGAAUAUUGCACAAUGGGCGCAAGCCUGAUGCAGCCAUGCCGCGUGUGUGAAGAAGGCCUUCGGGUUGUAAAGCACUUUCAGCGAGGAGGAAGGCGUUAAGGUUAAUAACCUUAGCGAUUGACGUUACUCGCAGAAGAAGCACCGGCUAACUCCGUGCCAGCAGCCGCGGUAAUACGGAGGGUGCAAGCGUUAAUCGGAAUUACUGGGCGUAAAGCGCACGCAGGCGGUUUGUUAAGUCAGAUGUGAAAUCCCCGAGCUUAACUUGGGAACUGCAUUUGAAACUGGCAAGCUAGAGUCUUGUAGAGGGGGGUAGAAUUCCAGGUGUAGCGGUGAAAUGCGUAGAGAUCUGGAGGAAUACCGGUGGCGAAGGCGGCCCCCUGGACAAAGACUGACGCUCAGGUGCGAAAGCGUGGGGCAGCAAACAGGAUUAGAUACCCUGGUAGUCCAGCGC